AUGAUAGGCAGCAGCAGUGCAGAUGGGAAGCCGUCUUGGAGGCCCAGUUCUCUCCUGCAACCACGGGGCUGUGUUCCCGGGCUGGCUGCCACCUUUGUGCUUUUGGCCUCUGACCGAGUCCCCGCCCCCACGCGCAGCCCCGACCUCUCCGGCGAGGACUCCCUCCUGUCCCUGGGAUCGAAUCCAAACUCUCCCUGGAGCUCAGGCCCGCCGCCAAUCGUCAGCAGACCCUCUCUCCUGGGUCUUUUCCUCCGCUCCCUCCAGCAGGGGGCCAUCACCUUCUGCUACUCCUUCCUCAGCCUCUCCCAGACUUUCGAGCCCGCGGCUGGGGUCGCCUUCAAAAAAGGAAAGUCAGACCGGACGCCGAUUUGUGUCCAAAGGAAAUACCAAUGGAGUCUUGUGAGCACAUCGAGAAGCCCUCUAUGUGACUCUAUUUCUUUUUCCUUUUAAAAUUUGUUUUUUCUUUUUUGGUAGAUAAAUCUGGGGCCUCAUGCAUUCUAGGCAAGUACUCUACUACUGAGCUACAUCCCUUUUUCCUUUUUUUAUUUUCCCAGUAGUAGAACCCAAGAUCUUUACACUGAGCUACAUCCCAGCCUCCUGUGAGCACAUCGAGAAGCCCUCUAUGUGACUCUAUUUCUUUUUCCUUUUAAAAUUUGUUUUUUCUUUUUUGGUAGAUAAAUCUGGGGCCUCAUGCAUUCUAGGCAAGUACUCUACUACUGAGCUACAUCCCUUUUUCCUUUUUUUAUUUUCCCAGUAGUAGAACCCAAGAUCUUUACACUGAGCUACAUCCCAGCCUCCCUUCUUCUUCUUCUUCUUCUUCUUCUUCUUUUUUUUUUUUUUUUUUUUUUUUUUUUUUUUUUUUUUUAUUUUCUUUUUUUUUUUUUUUUUUUUUUUUUUUUUUUUUUGGUUUGUUUGUUUGUUUCUUAAAUUGGGAUAGAAUCCCACUAAAUUGCCCAGGCUGGGCUCAAACUCGCAACCCUCCUUCCUCAGGCUGCCUAGUAGCUGGGGUUACAGGCGUGCUUUAGCACUCGGGGCUCAUUUUUCUUUUUAGUUGACAUGGACUUGUACGUAUUUAUGGGGUACAGUGUGAUAAUUUACUUUCUGCCACGCAAUGGUGAAGUCAGGAUAAUCAGCACUGCCCGCUCCUUAUAAUUUAUUUGUGUUUAGAGCCCUCAAAGGCCUGUGUUCUAGAUCCCCAUGAAAUAUGUAAUCGGUUUUGGGAACUAUAGUCACUCCACUGAGUGGGGAGCCCCAGAGCUUAUUCCUCUUCCUGUAACUAUAUUUUGGUUCCCGCCUCUUCCUUCCGUCCCCACCCUUUCACCUCCCCAGAGGCAGGGUCUCAGCAUGUAGUCCAGGCUGAACUCCUCCUGCCUCAGCCUGCCCCUGGGAUUACAGGCACCUGUCACAGCUCCUGGCUCCCUGUCGUUCUUUGAGACCAACUGUUUUAGCUUCCACAUGUGCGUGAGAAUAUCUGGUACUGUAUUUGUUUUACUGCUUAUUCUAGCUUAUUUCAUUUCCAAUGUUCAGUCCAUGUUGCUUCUUUUCAACGUCACUGAAUAACAUUCCAUUGCUUCGGCACCAUGUUAUUUUUAGCCAGUCACAGGCCGAUGGACUCCUCUGCAGGUCUCGUAUCUGCUGUUGUGUUGGUGCUGGUGCUGGAUCGGCUGUGCAUUGUUUUCCUUCUCACCUUGGCUUUGUGGAGGAAGGAGCUUUUUUUUUUUUUUUUUUCCAGAGUAUGACUUUGCAAAUAGUACAGGUGGGGAAACUAAGGCACGGGAGGCCAGAUCGCUAGUGGAACUGUAGCAGAGCUGGGCUUUGAUGGCUGGCUGCAGGGCGGCCCUGGUCACAGUGUGGCGGUGUCCUCCUGCGCCGGGACCCCAGUCCCACCCUUUGUCACCCCGCAGUCUCCUCCCUCCCUAGGGAUCCCUAGGCUGCUCCCCUUAGAACCAGCAGACGUGGUAAUCCCUCCCCUCCCCACCCAUAAGCACUAAUUUUAAGUGCCAUAAGUGCCUAAUCUUUGGCCCUCCCGUCUUUCCUGUUCUGUCAAGAUCUUGCAAAUAUUUCUUCUGCCUCGAGAGGAGCGACUGUCUAGACCUUGGAGAAGCUUCUGCGGUAUAAAGUCAGACUCUGCUGCUCAGUAGCUGAAUGAACUCGGACAAGUUAUUUAACCUUUCUGGGCUUCCCUUGCUCCGACUGUAAUAUGGGAAUUUUAAAUACUAGUACCUUUCCAUAGGAUCGGGACAAGCUGGACUGUUAAAUUUUGUAGCAUUGGCCUACACUGAGCCCUGCAAUGAUGUUAGUUUCCCUCUUUUUUUGGGGGGUACUGGGGAUCCAACUCCGAACCUUGCACUUCCCAGGCAGGUGGUGACACCGCUGAGCUCAAUCCCCAGUCCUCCCUCUUUUACUCUGCUGUGUCAUAUUCCAUUUCCAGAACAUUGCACGUGUCUGGCCCUAACAGUGAGUGUUCCUUCCACGCCUCACUUCCUAAUGGGACGUCCGUGUGUGAGAACACACACACUUUACAGGCUUGCCACAGAGGGGAUACCUGAGUCUUGAGGAACUCCAUAGUUCAUUUCUCCAAAAACUGACAGAUUGCUCUCCGGAAUGGGCGCUCCUUACUGUACUGAAUGACCCCCUCUUCCAUAAACUCCUGCGGAACAUGGUGGGUUUUUUUUCUUCUGUACCGGGGACUUUGGGAAUUGAACCCAAGACCUUUGCCCUAAGCUACAGCUUCAGUCUUUUUUGGUUUUUUGCUAUGUUUUAAUUUUUUUGGUACUGUGGAUGGAACUCAGGACCUUGUGCUUGUGAGGCAGGUGCAGCGCCGCUGAGUUAAAUCCCCGGCCGUGUAUGUUUUAAUUUCGAGACAGGGUUUGCUAAAUUGCCUGCCUCAGCCUCCCAGAGGGCUGAGAUUACAGGCAUGUGACACCAUGCCUGGCUAUGAACACAGUCCUCUUCCUCCUUCUAUUCUCUGGUAUUUUAUUUUGUUUGUUUGUUUGUUUUAGACAGAGUCUUGAUAUGUAGCUCAGGCUGGCCACAAAUUCGCAGCAAUCCUGCCUCAGCCUCCAAAGUGCUGGGAUUAUAGGCCUGUGCCACCAUGCCCGGCACCUCUUUUCUCCUCUUUUCUCCGAUACAGGGUCCUGGUAUGCAGUUCAGGCUGGCCUUGAGCUCACUAUGUAGCCCACACUGGCCUCAAACUUACAGCAAUCGUCCUGCCUUAGUCUCCUGAGUGGUGAGAUUACAGGUGUGCACUACCAUGCCGUUUGAACAGUGUUUUACACUGAUUGUUGCCGGUUCUGGUACAUGGGAAAGGAGGAGAGAGCUGCUCUAUGUACAGUUUCCCUUCUCUGGGCUUCUUUCGUCUUCAUGACCACCCAGAAUGACCACAGACAAAUAGGCGUGUGAGUGUGAGUGUGUGUAUCCAUUCAUUGUUAAUUUUUUUUAGACAGGGUCCCACUAUGUAGCCCAGGGUGUCCUCAAACUCAUGGUGGUAGAAUUACAGGUGUGUGUCACCGUGCCUGGUGUGCACUCACUUUUCAGGCUUUAAAUAUCCACGUUGUAAUAUUUUACUCCCUUCCAGAGUGGAAAAGGGAUCGUAGGUGGUGCCUCGCUCCUAGACUUAGGAAGACGCACCAUUCAUCCCGUGUUUGCUGGCCAAGCCCUCUUUGGCACUAACUUGUUUAUUCCUCAAGGGACACUGUGAGACCCCUGUUGCUGUUAUCCCUGAUGAGGAAACCACCACCACUCAUGGAGAAAUCAACUAUAAGAAGCAGAGCUGAGUAGGGCAUGGUGGUGCACGCCUGUAAUCCCAGCACUCAAGAGACAGAGGCAGGAAAAUCACUGCAAGUUCAAAGCCAGCCUGAGCUACAUAGUGAGUUCAAGGCCAAUAUAAACAAACUAUAUAAUGAGACCCUGUUUCAAAAAACAAAACAAAACAACAAAAAAACAAAAAAGAAGCGUAGCUGAAGCUGGGCAUCAUAGCACAUGC
This 3985-nucleotide long non-coding RNA is filed under the name Fukomys damarensis (Damara mole-rat). RNAcentral describes it as "lncRNA (ENSFDAG00000032927.1)". Lineage: Eukaryota; Metazoa; Chordata; Mammalia; Rodentia; Bathyergidae. The record is from RNAcentral.